CAUUCACUUGGCGCUGUGGUAGUGCGACUGCCUUUGACGCAGAAGGUUCUGGGUUCGAUGCCCGGUGGGUCA
This is a non-coding RNA of Phthorimaea operculella (potato tuberworm), 72 nucleotides long. The record is from the annotation of a GenBank genome assembly. Lineage: Eukaryota; Metazoa; Arthropoda; Insecta; Lepidoptera; Gelechiidae.